This 468-nucleotide ribosomal RNA is filed under the name uncultured bacterium. RNAcentral's name for it is "partial 16S ribosomal RNA". It matches the Rfam family "Bacterial small subunit ribosomal RNA", at positions 28 to 507 of the family's 1533-position model. The record is from RNAcentral.
GACGAACGCUGGCGGCGUGCUUAACACAUGCAAGUCGAACGGAAAGGCCCUGCUUUUGUGGGGUGCUCGAGUGGCGAAGGGGUGUGAAACACGUGAGUAACCUGCCCUUGACUUUGGGAUAACUUCAGGAAACUGGGGCUAAUACCGGAUAGGAGCUCCUGCUGCCUGGUGGGGGAUGGAAAGUUUCGGCGGUUGGGGAUGGAUUGGCGGUUUACCAGCUUGUUGGUGGGGGAGUGGUAUACCAAGGGUUUGACGGGUAGCCGUCAUGGGCGCGGGACCGGGCACAAGGGUACUGAGGGACGCCCCAGACUCCUACGUUGGGCAGCAGUGGGAAACAUGGCGCAAUGAGCCGGAGUGUGAGGCGACAACGCCGCGUUCGUGAUGACGUCCUUCGGGUGGAAAACCGCUGUCGCCUGAGACGAAGCGUGAGUGACGGUAACGGAUAAAGAAGCACCGGCUAACUACGUG